GGGGGGGAGUUUUUAGCUGCCACUAUAUGUAAUGCUAAAAUUGAAAGAAAAAAAUUGUAAGAAAAAAAUUGUUUUCCACUUGUCAAAAAGAAAAUAGAUUGUUUUUCGCUGAAGGCACAAAAAAAAGUUAGUCCAGUAAAAAAAUUUCAUAGCCCCCGCCCCAGAAAACCAAAUGGUUGCUGUCUAAAGAGCCUGUGUUGCUCACCU
This 207-nucleotide long non-coding RNA is filed under the name Mytilus galloprovincialis (Mediterranean mussel). The record is from RNAcentral. Lineage: Eukaryota; Metazoa; Mollusca; Bivalvia; Mytilida; Mytilidae.